RNAcentral lists this long non-coding RNA (549 nucleotides) under Selaginella moellendorffii. Its description in RNAcentral is "long non-coding RNA (SMOE_LNC002128)". Lineage: Eukaryota; Viridiplantae; Streptophyta; Lycopodiopsida; Selaginellales; Selaginellaceae. The record is from RNAcentral.
UCGUACUUGUAAUAAGGAGGAGGUGGCAGGACUUGUACUUCUAGUAAGGAGGUGGUGGAGACUCGUAUGUGGUGGCAGAGACUCAUACUUAGGCAGUGGAUACUUACAUGGGAGACUCAUACUUGAAAUAAGGAGGCAGUGGAGAUUUAGUAAUAUGGAGGAGGUGGUGGCGAUUCAACUUGUAUGGUGGUGGAGGCAGCGACUAAUACUUGGAUGGAGGGGGUGGUGGCGAUUCAUACUUGUAUGGUGGUGGUGGUGGUGACUCAUACUUGUAUGGCGGUGGUGGUGGACUCUCAUACUUGUAUGGUGGCGGUGGUGGUGACUCAUACUUGUAUGGAGGGGGUGGCGGCGACUCAUACUUGUAUGGUGGCGGCGGUGGCGACUCAUACUUGUAUGGCGGCGGCGGCGGACUCUCAUACUUGUAUGGAGGGGGUGGUGGCGAUUCAUACUUGUAUGGUGGCGGCGGUGGCGACUCAUACUUGUAUGGCGGCGGCGGUGGACUCUCAUACUUGUAUGGUGGCGGUGGUGGCGACUCAUACUUGUAUGGAG